ACCCAUGUCUUUUGAGUACCUUCGUUUCCUCGGCGGGUCCGCCCGCCGAUUGGACACAUUUAAACCCUUUGUAGUUGCAAUCAGCGUCUGAAAAAACUUAAUAGUUACAACUUUCAACAACGGAUCUCUUGGUUCUGGCAUCGAUGAAGAACGCAGCGAAAUGCGAUAAGUAGUGUGAAUUGCAGAAUUCAGUGAAUCAUCGAAUCUUUGAACGCACAUUGCGCCCCUUGGUAUUCCAUGGGGCAUGCCUGUUCGAGCGUCAUUUGUACCUUCAAGCUUUGCUUGGUGUUGGGUGUUUGUCUCGCCUCUGCGCGCAGACUCGCCUCAAAACAAUUGGCAGCCGGCGUAUUGAUUUCGGAGCGCAGUACAUCUCGCGCUUUGCACUCAUAACGACGACGUCCAAAAAGUACAUUUUUUACACUCUUGACCUCGGAUCAGGUAGGGAUACCCGCUGAACUUAAGCAUAUCAAUAAGCGGA
RNAcentral lists this ribosomal RNA (478 nucleotides) under Paraphoma radicina. RNAcentral describes it as "eukaryotic LSU rRNA". The stretch from base 109 to 262 matches the Rfam family "5.8S ribosomal RNA". The record is from RNAcentral. Lineage: Eukaryota; Fungi; Ascomycota; Dothideomycetes; Pleosporales; Phaeosphaeriaceae.